AGUGGCAGACGGGUGAAUAACAUGUAGGUAUCUGCCCAUUGGCCUGGAAUAACACGAGGAAACUUGUGCUAAUACCGGAUAAGUCUUUACGGAGAAAGCUUUAUGCACCAUUGGAUGAGCCUGCACUUGAUUAGUUUGUUGGUGGGGUAAUGGCCUACCAAGACUGUGAUCAAUAGCUGAUUUGAGAGGAUGAUCAGCCACAUUGGGACUGAGACACGGCCCAAACUCCUACGGGAGGCAGCAGUGGGGAAUCUUGCACAAUGGAGGAAACUCUGAUGCAGCGAUGCCGCGUGAGUGAAGAAGGCCCUUGGGUUGUAAAGCUCUUUCGUCGGGGAAGAAAAUGACUGUACCCGAAUAAAAAGGUCCGGCUAACUUCGUGCCAGCAGCCGCGGUAAUACGAAGGGACCUAGCGUAGUUCGGAAUUACUGGGCUUAAAGAGUUCGUAGGUUGUUGAAAAAGUUGGUGGUGAAAUCCCAGAG
This 479-nucleotide ribosomal RNA is filed under the name uncultured bacterium. Its description in RNAcentral is "bacterial SSU rRNA". It matches the Rfam family "Bacterial small subunit ribosomal RNA", at positions 94 to 607 of the family's 1533-position model. The record is from RNAcentral.